This 454-nucleotide ribosomal RNA is filed under the name uncultured bacterium. RNAcentral describes it as "bacterial SSU rRNA". It matches the Rfam family "Bacterial small subunit ribosomal RNA", at positions 923 to 1379 of the family's 1533-position model. The record is from RNAcentral.
GCACAAGCGGUGGAGCAUGUGGUUUAAUUCGACGCAACGCGCAGAACCUUACCAGGCCUUGACAUCCCGUGCUAAACCCAGAGAUGGGUGGUCCCCGCAAGGGGCGCGGAGACAGGUGCUGCAUGGCUGUCGUCAGCUCGUGUCGUGAGAUGUUGGGUUAAGUCCCGCAACGAGCGCAACCCUCGCCUUUAGUUGCCAUCAUUAAGUUGGGCACUCUAAAGGGACCGCCGGCGACAAGCCGGAGGAAGGUGGGGAUGACGUCAAGUCCUCAUGGCCCUUACGGCCUGGGCUACACACGUGCUACAAUGGCGGUGACAGUGGGCAGCGACCACGCGAGUGGAUGCGAAUCCCAAAAAACCGUCCCAGUUCAGAUUGCACUCUGCAACUCGGGUGCAUGAAGGUGGAAUCGCUAGUAAUCGCGGAUCAGAACGCCGCGGUGAAUACGUUCCCGGGC